CCACCUUCGUCGAGUGGUUGGGGGAGGACAGGACAAGGCUUCUUCGCCUCUUCCGGCAUCUCACACCCUCGCCCCGACCGCCGGGCCGUCGUCGCCGAUCUCGACGCCGCCGCCCGCCAUGGCCGCCGCCGCCACUUCGCCUCCGGUUCCUUUAGGACCCGAGGCCUUCUCUCUCCCGGGCCUCCUUCCCAGCACUACGCAGCCAUGCAGAAAGAAGCGAGAUGGAGUCCAAGGCGUGCGUUAUUGAUCCUGCUCUGCUUCCAACUCUAGAGGGUUUACUGCUGGAAACGUAUGCAUCAUUGCAACCAAAGCCAGUCGACUAUGAGAACCGACAGGUUAUGAUCAAUGUCUUCAACAAAAUAGCGGAAGAGAUUUUUGGUAAAAAGAACGGGCUUCCUGUUGCAGAAGCAUUCGGAUCAUUCACAAUGGAUCUAUUUACUCCUGAAAGUGACCUUGACCUCUCGAUCAACUUUAAUACUGAUACCAAGGAUCUGUAUCCUCGCAAGGACAAGAUUAAUGCUAUUAGGAAGCUUACAAAAAUCCUAUAUUCUCAUCAGAGGCAUGGUCGUUGUUAUGGGGUUUUACCUAUUUCAACUGCUAGAGUUCCUGUAUUGAAGGUUACUGAUCAGGGAACUGGUGUAGAGUGUGAUAUUUCAAUAGAAAACAAAGAUGGCAUGUCAAGAUCAAUGAUAAUUAAAUUUAUCUCAUCAAUUGAUGAAAGAUUCCGGAUACUUUGUUAUCUGAUGAAGUUCUGGGCCAAGGCACAUGAUGUUAACAGCCCCAAAGAUCAAACAAUGAGCUCAAUGUCGAUUAUUUCUUUAGUUGCUUUCCAUUUACAGGUAAACUGAUACUGUUGUUGGUCCCUGCAAUCAAGGGCCAGGUAAGCAACCUGGUCACCUUCCUCUCCCUCUCUUUGGCUCCAAGGUAGAAGAAGAGCUGAGCUCUUCUGCACACACAUACACUCUGCUGUCUGCUCUCUGCGCUGGCUGAGAGCUGAACACUAGAAUGUGGCAAGAAUGAACUGCCUUUUCUCAUUGCAUUGCAUUCAUAUUUAUACACCAUUGCUACCUACUCUAAGGUGCUACCAGUUAUGGCUAAUAACUUCUAUCACUAUCUGAACAUUAGUGGCCUAGAGCCAUAAGUCAACAAAGGCUGCAAGUCAACAAAGGCUGCUAGCAAACUGCAGACUUCCUUGACCAAAAUCAGAAAAGGGACAGCUGCAGAUUAAGUCUUACAUUACUUCCCCUAAUCCUGCUGCUAGCCCUGGACCUCAUCCAUGCCGAUCAUCUUCCUCAAUUCCGAGAACCGAAGACGCCCGAGCGACUUGGUGAGGAUGUCAGCGAGUUGCCGUCCGGUGUUGACGAACUCGAUGACAAGGUGCCCCCCAUCGACGCAGUCCCGAAGAAAAUGGAACUUCACAUCGACAUGCUUGCUUCGGUCGUGAAAGACGGGGUUCUUUGCCAGCGCAAUGGCCGGCUGGUUGUCCACCUUGAGUGCUGGCGGGCGAGCUUCAACACCAGUGAGCUCACCCAACAGCCGGCGCAGCCAAACGACUUGGCACGCCGCGGUGGCCGCUGCAAUGUACUCCGAUUCACAGGUUGACAGCGCCACCACCUUCUGCUUCAGUGACUGCCAAGCCACCGGUGCGGUUCCAAGGGAGACGAGCACACCUGUGGUGCUCUUCCGUCCAUCCACAUCUCCAACCAUGUCCGCAUCGCUGAAUGCCGUCAGCUGAAGCCCGCCGUGCCUGGGGAAGACGACGCCCAUGUCCAGAGAGCCCUGGACGUAGCGCAGCACCCGCUUGACCGCUGUCCAGUGGUCCUCCCGCGGGUCUUCGAGGAAACGGCUCACAUACCCGACUGCGAACGUGAUGUCCGGCCGCGUAUGCGUCAGCCACCGCAGCCCGCCGACGAUGCUCCGGUAACGCGUUGCGUCCACCCUCGCCGCCGUGCUGUUCUUCGACAGCUUGAUCCGCUCCUCCAUCGGCGUCGCCAUGGGCUUGCAGCCCGUCAUCCUGGCCUGCUCCAGCAGUUUGAGCGCAUAGGCGCGCUGGCCCAGCUUGAUGGAGUCCCUCCCCUGCUUUACCUCGAUGCCGAGGUAGUAGGAGAGUGCGCCGAGAUUGCUCAUUUUGAAACGAGCCACCAUCUCGCAUUUGAACGCUUCAAUGUCCUACGCCCGAGCUCCGGUGACGAUCAGGUCGUCCACGUACACGCCGACGAUGAGCUCUUCCUUCCCCGUCGUCAUGUGUACAGCGCAUGCUCGGUGGCGCAGCGUGCGAACCCAAGCUCACCCAUGGUGGUGUCGAGCUUGGCAUUCCACGCCCUGGGAGCUUGGCGCAGCCCAUACAGAGCCUUCCGCAGCCGGAGCACCUUGUGCUCUGCACCCGGCACCGCGAAGCCCGGCGCCUGCUUGACGUAGACCUUCUCCUCCAGGUCGCCGUUCAAGAACGCCGAUUUGACGUCGAGGUGAUGGACCUGCCAGUCUUUUGCCGCCGCAAGAGCUAGCAGCAACCGCAUCGACUCCAUCCGAGCCACCGGUGCGAACACCUCCUCGAAAUCAAUCCCUUCACGCUGCACAAAACCACGGGCAACGAGCCGAGCCUUGUGUUUGACAAUGGCGCCGCGCUCGUCCCGCUUUACCUUGUAGACCCAUUUCAAGCCAAUCGGCCGGCAUCCCGCCGGCGGAUCGACCAGCUCCCAGGUGCGGUUGUCCUCGAUUGACCGCAUCUCCUCCAUCAUGGCCUUCCGCCAGUCCGCGUCACGCUCCGCAACCGCGAACGUGGCCGGCUCCUCCGCGCUCAUGAGCAUGAGCUCUGGAUCGGUGAGACGCGAGGCCAGCCCCGGCAGCUCUGCAUCACCGAUGACGUCGUCCACUCGCCUGAAUCGGAGCUCCUCUCCGUCGUGGUAGGCAUCCACGAACUCCGAGUAGGAGGACGGGGGGAUGCGAACUCAGGAUCCGCCGCCGCUGUCGGGGUCCCCUGUUCUGGAAAAACAGGGGAGGCUGGGGACGCUGAACUCGCCGCGCCAGGACUUGGCGGAACCUCCGCCGUGCCAGGACUUGGAGGCUCCACCGCCUCCGCUUCUGGCUCCUGCGCUGCCUCCUCUGCGCCACUCCGGUGCUCGAUCACCAGCUGCUCGACGACGAAUUCGCCCGUCAAGCCGCCGCCGGACCCCUCUGCUUCCCCUGCCGCGGGCGUGCUCCAACUCCAUGCCGCCACCUCGUCGAAAAUGACAUCCCGGGACACCACCACCUUCCCCCGGGCUGGGUCGUAGAGCCGAUAGGCCUUCGUCCCAUCUUCAUAGCCCAGGAACACCAUCUUGGUGCUCCGAUCUUCAAGCUUCCCAAGGCCUGGCUUGACGGUCUUCACGUGCCCGAUGCAGCCGAACGUGCGUAGGUACGAGACGUUUGGCUUACGCCCAUACCACGCCUGAUACGUCGUCAUCCCCUUCAGGGCCUUGGUCGGUGAGCGGUUCAAGAUGAACACCGCCGUGCUCACCGCCUCGCCCCAGAAUUCCGCCGGCAUCGCCUUCGCCUUCAUCAUCGAGCGUGCCAUCCCAACGAUGGUUUGAUUUCGCCGCUCGACUACGCCAUUCUGCUGUGGCGAAUAUGGUGCCGUCAGUUGACGCGCCACUCCCUCUCCUGCGCAGUAGCUGGCAAAUUCCACCGCUGUGAACUCGCCGCCACGGUCGGUACUGAGGACGCGCAGCCUCUUCCCGGAGUCCGCCUCUGCCCGCGCCUUGAAGCGCCUGAUGGCCUCCGCCGCCUCAUCUUUGCUCGUCAGGAGCUGCAGCCACAUAUACCGACUGCAGUCGUCCACGAGCAGGAGGAAGUAUCUCCGACCACCAUGCGUCGUCGGUGUGAUGGGCCCGCACAGGUCCCCGUGGACCAGCUGGAGCACCUCCUGCGCCCGGUACUUGGCCGCCUUUGGGAACGGCAGACGCCUCUGCUUCCCGGCCAAGCAGCUGUCGCAGAGCUCGUUGACGUGCUUGAUCUGCGGCAGCCCGGUCACCAUCUUGCCCAGGCGUCCAAGCGCCUCAAAGCUCAAGUGGCCGAACCUCCCAUGCCACAGCCAUGGUUCCUCCGUGCACGCCGCCGCGAGACACACCGGUUGCUCCACCUUCAAAUCCAGGAGAUAAAGCCGGUUACGGGAACGUGUUACCUUGGCGAGAAGACGUCGUUCUCGGUCCCUGAUGCUUAGUACUCCGGCCUUGACGAGCACCUCCGACCCGUGCUCAUCCAGCUGCCCCAAGCUCACAAUGUUUGAGCGCAGCUGGGGAAUGUAAUACACUUCCUGGAGUGCACGGUGCUCGCCGUUGCGGCACCUGAAGAGGACCGUGCCCUGCCCGCGGAUGAUGACCCGCGAGCCAUCGCCGAACUUGACCGUCCCGGUCUUGGUUUCGUCGAGGUCAGAGAAGGCGGCCCUGCUCCCCGUCAUGUGGUUGCUGGCCCCAGAGUCCAGGUACCACCUCUGCUCCAGCUCAGUCGCCGACCGCGCCCAGCAACACCCGCGCCUCUGGCUCGUCAAGGUUGACGGGCUGCGGCGCAGUCCUCUGCUCCGUGUCCGCCUCCUCUGCUUCGCCAUCCUUCAGCGCGCAGUACUGCGCCAUCAACAGCGCGUGGCCGUCGUCGCUCUCUUCUUGAGCUAGGUGGGCCUCCUCCUUCUCUUUCCGCUUCGGGCACUCCUUAGCCCAGUGCCCGAUCUUGCCGCACUUGCGGCAGGCAUCGGGGUCGAAGUUCUUCUUCUUUUUCCCCUUCCCGCGCGGAUUCCCGCGCGCCUUGUUGCCGCCGGCAUACCCGCCGCGGCUUGAGGAGUUCUCCCCGGUCCGCCGCUUCAUGCACGCGUUCCACUCCUCCUCGGUGAGCAGCAACUUGCCACUCUCCUGCCUCCGCUCCAGCGGCGCAUCAGAACGCCCUUCGGCCAGGCGAAGUCGACCGACGACGUCCUCGAGCGAGACCUGAUCCAGGUCCAAGGUGGCCUCGAUUGUAACCGCCAUCUGGCUGUACUUGGCCGGGCACGCGCGGAGCAGCUUGCAGACGACGUCCUCCUCCUCCAACUUCUUCCCCAGCGUUGCCAACUGGCUUGCCAACGACUGGAGUCGGAGCGCAAAGUCCUCCACAGCCUCGCCGUGGCGGAACUUCAGGUCGUCGAAGUCCCUGCGCAGCUGCUGCGCCUUGGCCCUCUUGGCUCGAUCCGAGCCAACUCGGAAUGAAGCCAGCAUGUCCCACGCCUCCUUCGCCGUCUUCUUGUUGCCGAUGGCCUCGUGGAACUCUGGUGGCGUGGAUGACAGCAGUGCGUCCAUGGCCUGGACGUCUUCAUCCUCUUCUUUGGUGCCGACUUCCACGGCCGUCCAGAGCUUGCGCGCCUUGAGCCGCCACUUCAUCAGCACCACCCACUCGCCAUAGUUGGUGCGAGUGAGCUGCGGCCAGUCCCGCGAGCUCGUCUCCCGCACCGUCCUGAUCACAACCUCCGAGACAUCCUUCCCUUGUCGCCUGCACUGGACGCCGGGGAGUUUUCGCCAGCCAUCGUUCAGCCGCUGGGCUAGAACGACACGUACGGCUCUGAUGCCACUUGUUGGUCCCUGCAAUCAAGGGCCAGGUAAGCAACCUGGUCACCUUCCUCUCCCUCUCUUUGGCUCCAAGGUAGAAGAAGAGCUGAGCUCUUCUGCACACACAUACACUCUGCUGUCUGCUCUCUGCGCUGGCUGAGAGCUGAACACUAGAAUGUGGCAAGAAUGAACUGUCUUUUCUCAUUGCGUUGCAUUCAUAUUUAUACACCAUUGCUACCUACUCUAAGGUGCUACCAGUUAUGGCUAAUAACUUCUAUCACUAUCUGAACAUUAGUGGCCUAGAGCCAUAAGUCAACAAAGGCUGCAAGUCAACAAAGGCUGCUAGCAAACUGCAGACUUCCUUGACCAAAAUCAGAAAAGGGACAGCUGCAGAUUAAGUCUUACAACUGUUACUUUUGGAUUUAUUUUCUGUCAUUCUGCAUGAUCAUGAGUAGAAAGUAGUUUCACUGUUCAUAUGGAACUUCCAUAACAGAUUUGUGGCCUGAAUGUAUAUGAUGGCUUUUUGUAGCAACUCUCUUUUAUAUUUGAACACUGAAAAAAAUGAAUUCACUUGAUAAUUGUACAAUGUGGAUUGCAGACCCGGCGCCCUCCGAUAUUGCCUGCAUUUUCUGCCAUAUUGAAAGAUGGUUCAGAUUUUGCAAGUAUUGAGAAGAAUGUCUCACUAUUCAAUGGUUUUGGGAGCAGCAAUAAAGAAUCUAUUGCUGAACUUUUUGUAUCAAUGAUGGUUAAACUAGUGUCAGUGGAGGGUUUAUGGGAGCAAGGGCUCUGUGCCAGCAAUUUUGAAGGAUCAUGGAUAUCAAAGACCUGGGGAAAAGGUGUUGGCAAUUUGAGUAAUUUCGCCAGAUGUGUAGGGAUGGGACAGAUGCAGAAAAUCUGCGAAUGCCUAAGGGCUACUGUUUCUGAUUUGAGCAAGUUUUUUAUGGGUAAAACUGCUGCGCCCAAGCUAAAGGCCCUUUCGUUUGAGCCUUUGAACCAGGUUAAGCCAGUCACUGAUCCCAUUCAGAAAACUGUUAAGAGGAAGCGUGUUAAUCCAAACAACACAAGCACUAACCCUAGUAAGAGAAAUGCUAAGAAGAAGAAGAAGCCCCUUGAGCAGGACAAGCCAGUCAUUUCUCUUGGUCAGCGAGAUGAUAAGAAGCCCCUGGAUCAGAAGCCAGUCACUUCUCCCAUUCAGAAAGAUGCUAAUAGGGACAAGCCCCUUGAUCAGGUUAAGCCAGUCAUUUCUGCUGGCCAGAAAGAUGACAAGACGGAGAAGCCCCUUGAGCAGGAUAAGGCAGCCAUUUACCCCGGUCAGAAAGAUGCUAAGAAGAACAAGCCCUUUGGUCAGGAUAAGCCGGCCAUUUCUCCUUGCCAGAAAGAUGAUAGGAAGAAGCCCCUUGGUCAGGAUAAGCCGGCCAUUUCUCCUGGCCAGAAAGAUGCUAAGAAGAAGAGCAGCAACGUGGGACGUGACUCAGGAAGCAGUCAAGAGCAACAAAAGAAAGCAAAGGUUACUGUAUACACUUCUGGUUCACGACCUCCUAGUGUUAUCCCUCCUCAAAGAAUGCAUCGACCAGUACUCACCCAGCCAAUUAUUAAUCAGUUUGCACAUAUACCUCAGCAUCCGAUCACCCCUCCUGCUUUUGGUUAUGGGUUGCCACCACCGCAUUUGCAUUCAGCUUAUCAGCACCCUCAUCUGGGAUUGGUAGGUCAACCGCAGGGUGAUUUCCUUCAUUUGUAUCAUGGGAUUCAGAUGCAGCAUCAAGGACAGGCUAUGUUUCGCCCUCCUCCUCCAGCAGCCCACCAUCCCGUGCUCAAUGGGCUUCACCCGUAUGGUAGCAUUGGUGCUCAGCAGAUGCAGCAUAUCGAUAAUAGGCUGGUUCAGAGGCCACCGUACGGAAUGAGGCAAGGUUUCUGGAGAUGACUGUUGCGGCUUGGGAAAGUAGAUAUGUAGGUAGUUGGCGGGCUUUUUUUGAGGCGAAAGCUUAAAGACUGUUGUUGUGUAACUAGCUGUGUGCCAUUGUGUUUGUAACUGUUGUGAAAAGAAAAGUUGUAAGGUGAGAAUGGGAGGCUAGGUCUUAGUUUAAUCUGUUGAUUCUGUUGAAGUGUGUUGUAAUUGUGCGAGGUUUAUCUGAGAUGUGAGACCGAGUUGUCGAAAAUGUGGACAGCCGUAUUUGUAUUUAUGGACCAGGCAUGCACAGUCUGUAUUGCUGGGUUGCGAAUCAUAACGAUAAUCUCAAACUGGAAGCCAAUGCCAUAA
Molecule: RNA transcript, 7803 nt
Organism: Panicum virgatum (switchgrass)
Lineage: Eukaryota; Viridiplantae; Streptophyta; Magnoliopsida; Poales; Poaceae
Gene name: terminal uridylyltransferase 4-like
Exons: 8
Source: RefSeq, a predicted model, not a curated record